ACAUUCAUUUCUAACAGUUUAUAUAAGCAGACCCAAUAAUAGGAUAGUAAUGCAUGGAGAACACCGGGAUUAUACAUUCUCGCAUGAUAAAUUGUAGACAAGCAAAAUACCACUUUUGAAAGGUAUAUAGUCGGGAGCAGAUUGUUCUUUACAUUUGAAAUAAAUAGUGUAUAGUAGUUAUGCAUUGUGUUGUAAUUAAUGGAUUUUAUUAACUAAUUAUUAUUGUAAAGAAAUACCAUUAAGCCAUUUAAUGUGAUUUGGUUAAUUGCUAAAGCAAGAAAAUCAAGACAUAUUAUUUAAUAGUGGGUACUAAAUUUGAAACGGGGGAAUUUAUUUCUGGAUUAAUAUUUCCUUACUUAAUGCCUUAGAAUGGACUGUACCAGUAUAUUGUGAUCAACAAGAUGAAAAUAUUUUGGAAAUUAUACAGGAUGUAGUAUUAAAGACAAUAUAAUUUCAAUUAUCGUACAUUUCAUUUUUAGGCAUUUUAAUACGAUAUUUUCAAUAAAAAUCCAAAAAGUAAAUGAAAAGUAUGGCGAUUCAAAUUGAUUCAAAUUUAGACAAUUAUAAAAGUAAGUGAAAUUGUUUCAUAACUUUAAAAAGACUGAAUGUGAAGCAGAAAAAUGGACGAAAAGAAUGGAGAAAGUUCUAACCAAGACAGCAGAUCUUCAAAAUCAAAAUCUUGCAAAGAGGCGAAAAAGGCAACACUUUCACCACCAACUGAAGCAACCGAGCACAAAAAGCCAAAUCAACAACAACGUACAACCUACGUUCCGGAUACAAAUCUUCCACUAGCUUGCCUUGUUUGUUUAUGUUUCAAUUUUCCAUUAGGUGUUGUUGCAAUGUACCUAUCACUUUCCGCUGCUAGAUUUUACAGAGAUGGUAAUGUUGUAAAAGGUGAAAAAAGAGCAAAGUUAUCUGUGUUAUUAAGUUUGUUUAGUAUUGUAACCACUGUUCUUAUAGUUACGGCCAUAGUUGUUUGGAUUGUGGUAGAUAAGCAGAACCAAAGAGCUCUGAAGGAAUUAAAAACUUGAUUUUUAUGCUAAUUUUAAGGCGACAAGAGUGUGAUGGUAUUUGUGCCAGCAAAAAGAUUGUGACAGCAGAGAACCAGUUUAUAUGUGAUAAUUAUAUAUGAUAAAAAACAUGUGAACUAUAAUGUUGAAUAAAGUGCGAGUAUAGCUUCCAAAAUUCUAAAUAUGCAAAAUAUGAAAAUUAUAGUUUUGCCAGAUGAUACCUUUGAACCUUUUCAUUUUUCAUUGACAGAUAAAUAGAUUUUGCUUUAUAGUUUGUGAAAUAAAAUUCCAUAUAUUAUAGUGAUGAUUACAGUAUUUUGUUAAAUGUUAAGAAGUAAUAUUUCAAGACAUAUAAUGACAUUUAAGGCUAAACCCUAAAGUAUCAUGCUUUAAAUAAAUUAUAUACUAAG
Molecule: long non-coding RNA, 1420 nt
Organism: Ruditapes philippinarum (Manila clam)
Lineage: Eukaryota; Metazoa; Mollusca; Bivalvia; Venerida; Veneridae
Exons: 2
Source: RefSeq, a predicted model, not a curated record